This is a non-coding RNA of Bos taurus (domestic cattle), 72 nucleotides long. Lineage: Eukaryota; Metazoa; Chordata; Mammalia; Artiodactyla; Bovidae. The record is from Rfam.
UCCCUGGUGGCUCAGAUGGUAAAGCGUCUGCCUGCAAUGCAGGAGACCCAGGUUCGAUCCCUGGGUUGGGAA